UACGUAGGGGGCAAGCGUUGUCCGGAUUUACUGGGUGUAAAGGGUGCGCAGGCGGCUUUGCAAGUCAGGCGUGAAAGCUAGGGGCUCAACCCCUAAACUGCGCUUGAAACUGUGGAGCUUGAGUGAAGUAGAGGCAGGCGGAAUUCCCGGUGUAGCGGUGAAAUGCGUAGAGAUCGGGAGGAACACCAGUGGCGAAGGCGGCCUGCUGGGCUUUAACUGACGCUCAGGCACGAAAGCAUGGGUAGCAAACAGG
This 253-nucleotide ribosomal RNA is filed under the name uncultured bacterium. RNAcentral's name for it is "partial 16S ribosomal RNA". It matches the Rfam family "Bacterial small subunit ribosomal RNA", at positions 524 to 776 of the family's 1533-position model. The record is from RNAcentral.